Molecule: unclassified non-coding RNA, 664 nt
Filed under: Hevea brasiliensis (rubber tree)
Lineage: Eukaryota; Viridiplantae; Streptophyta; Magnoliopsida; Malpighiales; Euphorbiaceae
Source: RNAcentral
CACACACACACCACCAUGACAUGUUGAAUUCAAGAAAGAUAGGGCUGUCCACUUAUGAAAAAUUAGGGUAGAUUUUUUGCAAAAUUUUAUAAGAGAAUUGGAAAAUAGAGUUUUGUAUUCACAUAUAUCAAUUUUCCAAAUGGAGAAUAUGAAAACUAGGUUUCCAUUUUUCCAAUAUUUGACUAGGAUUUAGAAACAAUUUCAAGGCAUACUUGGCCUUCAUUGUAGGUAUCAAAUGGAUAUAACUAUAAGCUAACCUUGCUCAGGGCCAGUUUAGAACCAUAACGGGUAAAAAAUGGAUUGAUCAAAAUCAGUUCUGAACCGGAUUGAACUGGCUGGUUUGGUUCUGGGCCAAAUCCUGAUUUUCUUGUUUAAAAAAAAAUUAAAAAAAUUUUCAACCAUUGGAUUUGAUCAAAUUGGAACCAUGGGGAACCAUGGUUCCGGUUCCAAUCCCCUUUGAACUGGAGCAGCCAGUUCUGGGCUAGCUUUGCCCAAUUCAGCCCAUUGGCCACCCCUACAAUAAGCCACACAGGCACCAUAAGAACAUUAUUUUAAUGGCAUUAGAAAAGAAUGGUAUUUGGUAACAUGUGCAAAUCACAAGAACUAGAUUGACACAAGUAAAAAAAAAAACCUAAAUUGAAAGGAUGUCAGACUACAAGGAAAA